Molecule: small RNA, 26 nt
Filed under: Arabidopsis thaliana (thale cress)
Lineage: Eukaryota; Viridiplantae; Streptophyta; Magnoliopsida; Brassicales; Brassicaceae
Description: ATSL222400
Source: RNAcentral
UAGAUGUGGAAUGUACCAAAACUUGA